Molecule: ribosomal RNA, 253 nt
Filed under: uncultured bacterium
Lineage: Bacteria
Description: partial 16S ribosomal RNA
Rfam family: Bacterial small subunit ribosomal RNA
Source: RNAcentral
UACGUAGGGACCAAGCGUUGUUCGGAUUUACUGGGCGUAAAGGGCGCGUAGGCGGCGCGGUAAGUCACUUGUGAAAUCUCUGAGCUUAACUCAGAACGGCCAGGUGAUACUGCAGUGCUAGAGUGUGGAAGGGGCAAUCGGAAUUCUUGGUGUAGCGGUGAAAUGCGUAGAUAUCAAGAGGAACACCUGAGGUGAAGACGGGUUGCUGGGCCAACACUGACGCUGAGGCGCGAAAGCCAGGGGAGCAAACGGG